This 1561-nucleotide ribosomal RNA is filed under the name Salmonella enterica subsp. enterica serovar Chester. Its description in RNAcentral is "partial 23S ribosomal RNA". It matches the Rfam family "Bacterial large subunit ribosomal RNA", at positions 137 to 1735 of the family's 2925-position model. The record is from RNAcentral. Lineage: Bacteria; Pseudomonadati; Pseudomonadota; Gammaproteobacteria; Enterobacterales; Enterobacteriaceae.
GACUCGUCACACUAUCAUUAACUGAAUCCAUAGGUUAAUGAGGCGAACCGGGGGAACUGAAACAUCUAAGUACCCCGAGGAAAAGAAAUCAACCGAGAUUCCCCCAGUAGCGGCGAGCGAACGGGGAGGAGCCCAGAGCCUGAAUCAGCAUGUGUGUUAGUGGAAGCGUCUGGAAAGGCGCGCGAUACAGGGUGACAGCCCCGUACACAAAAGCGCAUGUGCUGUGAGCUCGAUGAGUAGGGCGGGACACGUGGUAUCCUGUCUGAAUAUGGGGGGACCAUCCUCCAAGGCUAAAUACUCCUGACUGACCGAUAGUGAACCAGUACCGUGAGGGAAAGGCGAAAAGAACCCCGGCGAGGGGAGUGAAAAAGAACCUGAAACCGUGUACGUACAAGCAGUGGGAGCACAGGUUUACCUGUGUGACUGCGUACCUUUUGUAUAAUGGGUCAGCGACUUAUAUUCUGUAGCAAGGUUAACCGAAUAGGGGAGCCGGAGGGAAACCGAGUCUUAAUUGGGCGUUAAGUUGCAGGGUAUAGACCCGAAACCCGGUGAUCUAGCCAUGGGCAGGUUGAAGGUUGGGUAACACUAACUGGAGGACCGAACCGACUAAUGUUGAAAAAUUAGCGGAUGACCUGUGGCUGGGGGUGAAAGGCCAAUCAAACCGGGAGAUAGCUGGUUCUCCCCGAAAGCUAUUUAGGUAGCGCCUCGUGAAUUCAUCUCCGGGGGUAGAGCACUGUUUCGGCUAGGGGGCCAUCCCGGCUUACCAACCCGAUGCAAACUGCGAAUACCGGAGAAUGUUAUCACGGGAGACACACGGCGGGUGCUAACGUCCGUCGUGAAGAGGGAAACAACCCAGACCGCCAGCUAAGGUCCCAAAGUCAUGGUUAAGUGGGAAACGAUGUGGGAAGGCCCAGACAGCCAGGAUGUUGGCUUAGAAGCAGCCAUCAUUUAAAGAAAGCGUAAUAGCUCACUGGUCGAGUCGGCCUGCGCGGAAGAUGUAACGGGGCUAAACCAUGCACCGAAGCUGCGGCAGCGACGCUGAUGCGUUGUUGGGUAGGGGAGCGUUCUGUAAGCCUGCGAAGGUGGCCUGUGAGGGUUGCUGGAGGUAUCAGAAGUGCGAAUGCUGACAUAAGUAACGAUAAAGCGGGUGAAAAGCCCGCUCGCCGGAAGACCAAGGGUUCCUGUCCAACGUUAAUCGGGGCAGGGUGAGUCGACCCCUAAGGCGAGGCCGAAAGGCGUAGUCGAUGGGAAACGGGUUAAUAUUCCCGUACUUGGUGUUACUGCGAAGGGGGGACGGAGAAGGCUAUGUUGGCCGGGCGACGGUUGUCCCGGUUUAAGCGUGUAGGUGUGUGUUCCAGGUAAAUCCGGUUCACUUUAACACUGAGGCGUGAUGACGAGGCACUACGGUGCUGAAGCAACAAAUGCCCUGCUUCCAGGAAAAGCCUCUAAGCAUCAGGUAACAUCAAAUCGUACCCCAAACCGACACAGGUGGUCAGGUAGAGAAUACCAAGGCGCUUGAGAGAACUCGGGUGAAGGAACUAGGCAAAAUGGUGCCGUAACU